CCUACGGGUGGCAGCAGUGGGGAAUAUUGCACAAUGGGCGCAAGCCUGAUCCAGCAACGCCGCGUGAAGGAUGACGGCCUUCGGGUCGUAAACUUCUGUCCUUGUGGACGAAGAACUGACGUUACCCAACUAGGAAGCCCCGGCUAACUACGUGCCUACAGCCGCGGUAAGACGGUGGGGGCAAGCGUUAUCCUGAAUUAUUGGGCGUAAGGAGUACGUAUUUGGCACAAUAAGCGCAGGGUUUAAGGCAAGGUCGAAACCAUUAUUCGCCCUGUGGCCUGGGAGGCUUGAGUGCAGGAGAGGAAAGCGGAAGUCCUAGUGUAGCAGGGAAAUGCUUAGAUAUUAGGAAGAACACCAGUGGCGAAGGCGGCUUUCUGGACUGUAACUGACACUGAGGUACGAAAGCGUGGGGAGCAAACAGGAUUAGAUACCCCAGUAGUC
This 441-nucleotide ribosomal RNA is filed under the name uncultured bacterium. RNAcentral's name for it is "partial 16S ribosomal RNA". It matches the Rfam family "Bacterial small subunit ribosomal RNA", at positions 338 to 795 of the family's 1533-position model. The record is from RNAcentral.